This 492-nucleotide ribosomal RNA is filed under the name uncultured bacterium. RNAcentral's name for it is "partial 16S ribosomal RNA". It matches the Rfam family "Bacterial small subunit ribosomal RNA", at positions 29 to 507 of the family's 1533-position model. The record is from RNAcentral.
AGUGAACGCUGGCGGUAGGCCUAACACAUGCAAGUCGAACGGCAGCACAGUAAGAGCUUGCUCUUACGGGUGGCGAGUGGCGGACGGGUGAGGAAUACAUCGGAAUCUACUUUUUCGUGGGGGAUAACGUAGGGAAACUUACGCUAAUACCGCAUACGACCUACGGGUGAAAGCAGGGGAUCUUCGGACCUUGCGCGAUUGAAUGAGCCGAUGUCGGAUUAGCUAGUUGGCGGGGUAAAGGCCCACCAAGGCGACGAUCCGUAGCUGGUCUGAGAGGAUGAUCAGCCACACUGGAACUGAGACACGGCCCAGACUCCUACGGGAGGCAGCAGUGGGGAAUAUUGGACAAAGGGCGCAAGCCUGAUCCAGCCAUACCGCGUGGGUGAAGAAGGCUUUCGGGUUGUAAAGCCCUUUUGUUGGGAAAGAAAAGCAGCAGGUUAAUACCCCGCUGUUCUGACGGUACCCAAAGAAUAAGCACCGGCUAACUUCGUG